GCUUAACACAUGCAAGUCGAGGGGUAUUAGUUUUCGGACUAAGAGACCGGCGCACGGGUGCGUAACGCGUAUGCAAUCUACCUUUUACAGAGGGAUAGCCCAGAGAAAUUUGGAUUAAUACCUCAUAGUAUAGCAGUUUCGCAUGAAACCACUAUUAAAGUCACAACGGUAAAAGAUGAGCAUGCGUCCCAUUAGCUAGUUGGUAAGGUAACGGCUUACCAAGGCUACGAUGGGUAGGGGUCCUGAGAGGGAGAUCCCCCACACUGGUACUGAGACACGGACCAGACUCCUACGGGAGGCAGCAGUGAGGAAUAUUGGACAAUGGGCGCAAGCCUGAUCCAGCCAUGCCGCGUGCAGGAUGACGGUCCUAUGGAUUGUAAACUGCUUUUGUACGAGAAGAAACACUCCUAUGUAUAGGAGCUUGACGGUAUCGUAAGAAUAAGGAUCGGCUAACUCCGUGCCAGCAGCCGCGGUAAUACGGAGGAUCCAAGCGUUAUCCGGAAUCAUUGGGUUUAAAGGGUCCGU
This 525-nucleotide ribosomal RNA is filed under the name uncultured Flavobacteriales bacterium. RNAcentral's name for it is "bacterial SSU rRNA". It matches the Rfam family "Bacterial small subunit ribosomal RNA", at positions 46 to 572 of the family's 1533-position model. Lineage: Bacteria; Pseudomonadati; Bacteroidota; Flavobacteriia; Flavobacteriales. The record is from RNAcentral.